Macrobrachium nipponense is the source of this 665-nucleotide long non-coding RNA. RefSeq lists it as uncharacterized. NCBI's taxonomy places the organism in Eukaryota, Metazoa, Arthropoda, Malacostraca, Decapoda, Palaemonidae. The record is from RefSeq and is a predicted model, not a curated record. The transcript has 3 exons.
GAAAUCCAUGGCGCCGCCCAAGUUAUAACGCUGGGUAAAGUAAAUUCACACAAUCACAUAGGUUCAAACGACUUCAUCUCUGUUGGAUGGCAAGAGUUUGCAGGUGCACACCAGGCCUUCUAAUCCCGUUCACAUCUUGUACUAAACUUAUGGCCUGCCUUAGGAAAAAGACGCAACCCACAUUAAAAUAAAUCAAUCAAUUACCAACGGACUGAAUUAUGAGAAAAACAGAAGACUGCCUCUAUUCAGUUUUUUUUCGUUUUGUGGUAAAUGAAACUUUGUCAUAUUACACAACUACUGAAUACCAUAUAAUAUUCCGAGUAACUAUUUACUGUUGAUUUUCGUAAAACAUCGUCGGUAAACGAGGGAUACUGACUAUAGAUUUUCUCUGAUCAUGUUUUUCUUUUUUGUUUACGUAUGACGUCACAGAUUUUGUUGCCGAUCAGCUGCACCAAUGUGAAGGUGGAGAGCGCCGACCAGAGGCAGUAUCCACCUGCAGCUGCUCUCUCACAAGAAUAUUUCUGAUUGAUGACUAAAGUGGCAUUUGCAAAUGGGCUAUAGGAUAUUUCUGGCACAGUUGCAGUUCAACUGGUAUAAAUAAUGCCAGUGCUACUUCGAUGUUACUCUUGCCCCGUCUUCUUAAGGUACAAAGUUUUAAGUUUUUU